RNAcentral lists this ribosomal RNA (498 nucleotides) under uncultured bacterium. Its description in RNAcentral is "partial 16S ribosomal RNA". It matches the Rfam family "Bacterial small subunit ribosomal RNA", at positions 30 to 523 of the family's 1533-position model. The record is from RNAcentral.
AUUGAACGCUGGCGGCAUGCCUUACACAUGCAAGUCGGACGGUAACAGGUCUUCGGAUGCUGACGAGUGGCGAACGGGUGAGUAAUACAUCGGAACGUGCCUAGUAGUGGGGGAUAACUACUCGAAGGAGUGGCUAAUACCGCAUGAGAUCUACGGAUGAAAGCAGGGGAUCGCAAGACCUUGUGCUACUAGAGCGGCCGAUAGCAGAGUAGGUAGUUGGUGGGAUAAAAGCUUACCAAGCCGAAGAUCGGUAGCUGGUCUGAGAGGACGAUCAGCCACACUGGGACUGAGACACGGCCCAGACUCCUACGGGAGGCAGCAGUGGGGAAUUUUGGACAAUGGGCGAAAGCCUGAUCCAGCAAUGCCGCGUGCAGGAUGAAGGCCUUCGGGUUGUAAACUGCUUUUGUACGGAACGAAAAGCCCCGGGUUAAUACCCUGGGGUCAUGACGGUACCGUAAGAAUAAGCACCGGCUAACUACGUGCCAGCAGCCGCCGUAA